RNAcentral lists this small nuclear RNA (118 nucleotides) under Glycine soja. RNAcentral describes it as "U4 spliceosomal RNA". It matches the Rfam family "U4 spliceosomal RNA". Rfam says of the family: U4 small nuclear RNA (U4 snRNA) is a component of the major U2-dependent spliceosome. The structure of U4 snRNA from yeast and human has been reported. The record is from Rfam by way of RNAcentral. Lineage: Eukaryota; Viridiplantae; Streptophyta; Magnoliopsida; Fabales; Fabaceae.
AUCUUUGCGAUUGGGGCAAUGACGCAGCUAGAGUGAGGUUGUAACUGAGGCGCGUCUAUUGCUGGUUGAAAACUAAAUCAAUGAUUCUGAGAAUAUUUUUGAAUAUUGAGAUGGACAA